GCAUAGCCAUAAAACUCGGCAGUAAAGUACAAUUUCUGUCCGCCAGGGGACUACAAGCGUCAGCUUAAAACCCAAAGGACUUGGCGGUGCCUCAGACCCACCUAGAGGAGCCUGUUCUAGAACCGAUAACCCCCGUUAAACCUCACCUCUUCUUGUUAUUACCGCCUAUAUACCGCCGUCGUCAGCAUACCCUGUGAAGGAAACAUAGUAUGCAAGGUGGGUAAAACCCAAAACGUCAGGUCGAGGUGUAGCGAAUGAGGAGGGAAGAAAUGGGCUACAUUCUCUAGUUUAGAGAAUAACGAAUGGGGGUGUGAAACAACCCCCUGAAGGUGGAUUUAGCAGUAGACCGGAAAAAGAGAGUCCCGUCGAAACUGGCUCUGAGGCGCGC
RNAcentral lists this ribosomal RNA (388 nucleotides) under Galaxias occidentalis (western minnow). RNAcentral's name for it is "partial 12S ribosomal RNA". It matches the Rfam family "Bacterial small subunit ribosomal RNA", at positions 794 to 1384 of the family's 1533-position model. The record is from RNAcentral. Lineage: Eukaryota; Metazoa; Chordata; Actinopteri; Galaxiiformes; Galaxiidae.